GGAUAGGUGAUCAUUUGACCCAGGUUUCAUAUGAAUCCUUCAAAGGGAUUAGGAGAUACAGAGUGGACACAAAAUGGAAGGCUCAAACUUUUGACCGUGAGUUGUGUCCUUGACCUUGAGUCAGCAUGGCUGAUUCAUAAGUUCUGCACAUUCCUUGAUGAGGUGAUCAUUUCUUCCAAAUUUGAUGAAAAUCCUUCAAGGGGUUUAGGAGAUACAGAGCCGACACAAAAGUGUUACGGAAGGAUGGUCUAAGACCAUUCCUAUAACCCCCUAUGCAGUCAGUGAACACACACAUAAGUGUUAAUGAUCAUUAAUUUUGUUAAACUUUCGACCAAAUCCAUUUUCUGAUCAGAAUCUGAUGAAAAUUACAGGUCCUGAAAAUCCCCAUGGUUGUGGGUGGUGCAGACAGAAUGUGAGCCAGGAAGUACAUCUGUAAAAGUCCAGACAUUCCGUGUGUACAAGAGAUCUAUGUGAGGAUGAUAGCAAAGAUAAUACAACCAUUCAGCAAAUCAUAUCAAUCCAACUGAAGGACAAAGUAUCCAUUGAUUUAGUUGCAUCUUUGCUAAGAAGUUAACUUGGAUCUGCUUCACAGGGAGUCAUUGAUGACCAGCUAAGUAGUAGGAUACAGUUUCCUGAUCAGAUGAAAUCGCUUUAUCUGGCUGGAAUUUAAAGAGCUGAGACUACCAUCAGGAAAAUCUACCAUGUAAUAACACACUAACCCAGAACAUUGCUACUGAGUGUACCACACAGUAAUGCUUACUACGAAAUUGCUACGGAGUCUACCACACAGUAAUACUGACUAGGAAAUUGCUAUUGAGUCUACCACACAGUAAUACAAACCAAGCGCAUUGUUACUAUGUCUUCUAUACAGUAACACUAAUUCAGAACAUUGCUACUGAGUCUGCCACACAGUAAUGUGGACAAGGACAUUGCUAUUAUGGGUUUCCAUGCAGGAAAAACACACAGUAACAUUGACUUAGGAUGUUGCUACCGAGUAUUCCACACUGUAAUAUUGACCCCAAAGUGUAGCUUUUCUAUGGAAAAUUCAGACAGAUAACUGAAGUUACCUGUCAAUAGGUGCAAUAAAAUCUUUAUCCGUUCAUGUUAACACUCCUGAUACUGAAGGCUGGACUCUGCUGAACACCAGAAAAAAAGCGGAGAUAAACAUGCAACUUACUGUGUGUGACACAGUGUAGUGCAAAAUAUUUUUAAAUGUGACUGUGAUAUAUAGACAUUAAAAUUAUUUUAAGUAACAUUCAAGUAAUGGUCAAAGGUGGUAGUGAAAACUAACUGAAUGUGACAUCAAAGUUUAGAUGACUGAGAAAGAAAGACAGUUAUACCUACUGGUUAAAAAUCUAUAAUUUUAUAUAUUAAAAUAAUGUUUAAAAAUGACAGUAGAUACAGUAAAAUGUGAAUAUGUGUUUUGAUUGAUAAUGUCAAAUAAUAAAGUGUAACUGAUUG
Mercenaria mercenaria is the source of this 1461-nucleotide long non-coding RNA. RefSeq lists it as uncharacterized. The transcript has 3 exons. NCBI's taxonomy places the organism in Eukaryota, Metazoa, Mollusca, Bivalvia, Venerida, Veneridae. The record is from RefSeq and is a predicted model, not a curated record.